RNAcentral lists this ribosomal RNA (253 nucleotides) under uncultured bacterium. RNAcentral describes it as "partial 16S ribosomal RNA". It matches the Rfam family "Bacterial small subunit ribosomal RNA", at positions 524 to 776 of the family's 1533-position model. The record is from RNAcentral.
UACGUAGGUGGCAAGCGUUGUCCGGAUUUACUGGGUGUAAAGGGCGUGUAGCCGGGCUUACAAGUCAGAUGUGAAAUCCGGGGGCUCAACCCCCGAACUGCAUUUGAAACUGUAGGUCUUGAGUAUCGGAGAGGCAGGCGGAAUUCCUAGUGUAGCGGUGAAAUGCGUAGAUAUUAGGAGGAACACCAGUGGCGAAGGCGGCCUGCUGGACGACAACUGACGGUGAGGCGCGAAAGCGUGGGGAGCAAACAAG